UUUGUUUAAGGCCUCGUUCUUCUGCCCGUUUUAGAAGGACUUUUCAUUGAAAAAGUCCUUUUCCCUUAAAAGGAAUGAAGAACAGCCUCCUUCUCUCCAGAUUAUUUCACCAUCAGAAAAGCACUUCUCUCCAGAUGAGAAGCUAAAAAUUUCUCCUCUUUUGGCUGAAAAUUGACCAAAUUAACUUGUCGUCUUCUCCCACAAACUUUCUCCUUUGCACUUUCACGCCCAGUCUCUCCUCCUUCAUUCCUUCAUUUCUGUUAGAAAAUUUCCCUGAGAUUGUCGAUUUUCCAGUAAUCCCCCACUCUCCUCCUUCAUUCCUUCAUUUCUCUCUGUCGAUUAUCGCCGUGGUUUUCUGUGGGUUCGAACUCGUAUUGGAACCUGGACGAACGGAUAUUGCAGCUGACUUGCACUUUAUCGGAGCAGGAGUGACCAUAGAAGCAGUACCAUGUGGAAUAUUUUAUCACAGUAAAGAUAAACUGCAGCCAGAGUUUUAUCAAGUCUUUCCAAAGCAGAGAGGUUUUCACACUUGCAGUUUUUGACUGUAUUUAGGAUUGGAUUUCUUUUCAGAUGGCAGAUGUAUGGUCUUGUGGAGUGACUCUUUACGUUAUGUUGGUAUGUGCAUGUUUGUACGUGUGUUUUCUUGUUUUUAUUUUGUGCUUCUUUUUUCUUUUUUCUUAUCUUGUGCUGAAGCAUGAUCUUGUAAACUGUCUAUUCCUUUGGAGUUAUGUUUGGUCAUAAUCCAUAAAGAAACUUUCUUGCUAAAUGAGGAAAAAGUAUGAAGCAGGGUAGUUUUAUUUCGCUGCAUAUGAAGUGGAAUUGCCUUUCUAGGGGUGGCUGUUUGUAUACAUGUCAUAUGGGGGUUAAGGAUGCCAUAGUGAGGCGACACUACUAUGCUGGUGACUAAGAUGAGAGCCACUGACUGACAAUUUCUUAUUUCCUUUGGAUGCUCAACACAUAUGACAUGCUGCAAAAUUGUUUCUUGCCAAUGAUUUAUUUUAUGUUCUUAUGAACAAAGUUCGACUCUGAUCUUUGAUGUAGUUUUAUGUCAUUAUCAUGAAAUUUAGGCAGAACCUAAGAACUAUUUCUUUGUUUAUGAGGCUACUUUGUUAGUGGCUUAUUGGCAAUGAUCUUUUCUGGAUGUGUAUUAUUCAACCAUCUAUUUAUACACUUUCUGUACUUUAUUUACAAAAAUAGCAGUAUGUUACUCCUCGGUAGACACUUUAGUUC
This is a long non-coding RNA of Gossypium raimondii (Peruvian cotton), 1230 nucleotides long. RefSeq lists it as uncharacterized. The transcript has 2 exons. Lineage: Eukaryota; Viridiplantae; Streptophyta; Magnoliopsida; Malvales; Malvaceae. The record is from RefSeq and is a predicted model, not a curated record.